ACGGAGAGGUAUCUCGAGGCCCACUCGGUAAUACAACAUCACACACAAGUCUUGCAAGCAAUGUGACUUAGUGUAAGUUGCGGGAUCUUGUAUUACGGAACGAGUAAAGAGACUUGCCGGUAAACGAGAUUGAAAUAGGUAUGCGGAUACUGACGAUCGAAUCUCGGGCAAGUAACAUACCGAAGGACAAAGGGAAUGACAUACGG
Molecule: long non-coding RNA, 206 nt
Filed under: Hordeum vulgare
Lineage: Eukaryota; Viridiplantae; Streptophyta; Magnoliopsida; Poales; Poaceae
Description: long non-coding RNA (HVUL_LNC020857)
Source: RNAcentral